RNAcentral lists this ribosomal RNA (274 nucleotides) under uncultured bacterium. Its description in RNAcentral is "partial 16S ribosomal RNA". It matches the Rfam family "Bacterial small subunit ribosomal RNA", at positions 523 to 796 of the family's 1533-position model. The record is from RNAcentral.
AUACGAAGGUCCCAAGCGUUAUUCGGAAUCACUGGGCGUAAAGAGUAUGUAGGCGGUUUGGUAAGUCAGGUGUGAAAUCCCGAAGCUCAACUUCGGAACUGCAUCCGAUACUGCUAGACUUGAGUAAUGGAGAGGCAGGUGGAAUUCUCGGUGUAGCAGUGAAAUGCGUGGAUAUCAAGAGGAAGACCAAUGGCGAAGGCAGCCUGCUGGACAUUUACUGACGCUGAGAUACGAAGGCUAGGGUAGCGAAAGGGAUUAGAAACCCCAGUAGUCC